CAUCCACUAUCCGCCCGGGAACUACGAGCACUAGCUUAAAACCCAAAGACUUGGCGGCGUUUACAUCCACCUAGAGGAGCCUGUUCUAGAACCGAUAAUCCCCGUUAAACCUCACCCUCCCUUGCCAUCCCCGCCUAUAUACCGCCGUCGUCAGCCUACCCUGUGAAGGCCCAGAAGUUAGCAAAAUCAGUACAACUCAAAACGUCAGGUCGAGGUGUAGCAUAUGAGAGGGGCUGAAAUGGGCUACACUCCCUAUGAUAGGGAACACGGAAAGUAUACUGAAACGUAUGCAUUGAAGGAGGAUUUAGUAGUAAGCAGAAAAUAGAGCGUUCUGCUGAAUCUGGCUCUAAAGCACGUACACAC
RNAcentral lists this ribosomal RNA (363 nucleotides) under Parambassis dayi (Day's glassy perchlet). RNAcentral describes it as "partial small subunit ribosomal RNA". It matches the Rfam family "Bacterial small subunit ribosomal RNA", at positions 858 to 1390 of the family's 1533-position model. Lineage: Eukaryota; Metazoa; Chordata; Actinopteri; Ambassidae. The record is from RNAcentral.